This 490-nucleotide ribosomal RNA is filed under the name uncultured bacterium. RNAcentral describes it as "partial 16S ribosomal RNA". It matches the Rfam family "Bacterial small subunit ribosomal RNA", at positions 29 to 505 of the family's 1533-position model. The record is from RNAcentral.
AGUGAACGCUGGCGGUAGGCCUAACACAUGCAAGUCGAACGGCAGCACAGUAAGAGCUUGCUCUUACGGGUGGCGAGUGGCGGACGGGUGAGGAAUACAUCGGAAUCUACUUUUUCGUGGGGGAUAACGUAGGGAAACUUACGCUAAUACCGCAUACGACCUACGGGUGAAAGCAGGGGAUCUUCGGACCUUGCGCGAUUGAAUGAGCCGAUGUCGGAUUAGCUAGUUGGCGGGGUAAAGGCCCACCAAGGCGACGAUCCGUAGCUGGUCUGAGAGGAUGAUCAGCCACACUGGAACUGAGACACGGUCCAGACUCCUACGGGAGGCAGCAGUGGGGAAUAUUGGACAAUGGGCGCAAGCCUGAUCCAGCCAUACCGCGUGGGUGAAGAAGGCCUUCGGGUUGUAAAGCCCUUUUGUUGGGAAAGAAAAGCAGCAGGUUAAUACCCCGCUGUUCUGACGGUACCCAAAGAAUAAGCACCGGCUAACGUCG